RNAcentral lists this long non-coding RNA (1805 nucleotides) under Musa acuminata (dwarf banana). RNAcentral's name for it is "long non-coding RNA (MACU_LNC003507)". Lineage: Eukaryota; Viridiplantae; Streptophyta; Magnoliopsida; Zingiberales; Musaceae. The record is from RNAcentral.
GAUGACGACGGCAGCCGCGGCGACACCCAAACAGCCGCCACCUCCCGACCCUAUCCUCUCCCCCCAGCCUCCCCAGGCGGCCUUACGCCGCCGAUCGGUGGAGUGGCGCCUGAUGACUUCGACCCUUCUUGUACCCGUAUCUGACAUGAAGGUAAUCUGCAUUCGUCAAUAUAGGAUUGCUUGUUUCAGAAUUUUAAUGUCUUUUCGAUUCAUUUAUAUGGCUAUUCUGCGAUGUUGUUAGGCAAUCACCGAUUCAUUUAUAUAGCUGAUCCUUCACCAAAUGUUUUCGUAAAUUUAGCUGAAUCCUUGAUAGGUAUUUGGAUGGUUAUCGGCGUUGCUAGACUGCUAAGUGGUCUCAAAUAAACCUUAGGGAGACUUCCAGAUUUGUCUUGCAUGAUCUCUUUGGUGUCUAUCAUCCCCUUCUCUCCUUAAUGAACAAGUAUUUCACCAGAACUUUGAAUUUAGACAAAAUUACACUUUAACUUGAACACUAUAUUAGUUUAAUUAGUCUCUUGUUUGUUGAUACAUGUUAGGAGGCAUUGUCUCCUCCGUGAAUUGGAUCGAACACUGGUAGGAGAUGAUCAACCAUGACUUUCAUAGUGAACCAUGCAACAAGAACUUUUAUUUUUUUGUCAAGAGGCCUAAUUACAUGCUUGCUAUGGUAGCAUCUAAUCUGAUAUAAAUUAAUGCAAAAUUGAGGAGACAGUUCCAACUAGUAGUAAUAUUAUCCUAACUAGAUGCCCUAAAAUCUUGUUCAAUCCUUCCAUGAAAUCUUAUUUAUCAUGAGAACAACCUGCACUGCAUCAGGACAUGUCCAAAGAAGAUCUUUAGAUGCACCAGUUAGAUGAGUUGAAUAAAUUACAAUUUUACUGUACGAGGAGAGAACCUAGAAAACUUUGUUGAAAACCAAAAAAAAAAAGAUUACUCUUAAUUUGACUAGCGGUUUUGCUCCACCCCAAAUAGUUCAGACAUUAUGGUUUGUUGUUGGCAUGGAGGUAUCAAGUAUUCCAAUCACCCAUCUGCAUGAGUCCCGUGCCACAUUCCCACAUAUUUUUGGACAUGGGUCUUACACAUGCCAUUGCAUAGUGUUGAUAGCCUGUUGGUGCAUUAUGUUCUGCUUGGUAUGUGCAAAAUGAUCUGUACUUUUAUGAAUGGUAACGCUAUGAUGUUUUCAAUGCAAUUGCUUAUAGAUUAAUUAUUAUUGUGAUUUUUUUUAAUCUCAUUACAUAUAUAGUUAGACUAGUUGAAAUCUUAGUUCAGCGGUGUUGGUGGUGGUAGUAGUCGUUGCAAAAGAUGUUAUGCUUUCAUGGUGGACUUCUUUAUAUUCUUAGGUUUAGAUGCUUAGACCUGUAGCUUGUGUUGAUCUGGUGUUUGUUUAAUUUAGUCAUUUUUGGGGAAUUUGUUGGAAAAUUCAGUGUAGGAUGUUUUGGUAAAUGGUAGUCUGAGACAGAUCUAAAAUCCAGAAUAGUUUUGACAAUCUCAUUGUUUUAUCAUUGAAGGGAAUAGUUCUGAGUUCAAGAAUAACCAGGUUCAAUUCCCACUACAAUUAUUACGCUGACAUUUCAAGAAUAGAAUUCAUGUAAAUAUUGCCAUAACAUCCAAACUUCCUUACAGCUAAAUUGACUUGAUCAUUUGAUGUUUACAAGUUCCUACUUUGCCAUCACGCAGCAUCUCUUCCGCCUUUCCGGCUCACAUACUCGCACAGCCGGCACGGCAGCGCAUCGAGGCUGGUGGCACGGUUCUUCCUGUAGUAACCCAUCACACCGCACCUCCUCCAAGCAUGGUACUCUGCAUAGGCAAUGGGG